GCUUAACACAUGCAAGUCGAGGGGCAGCAUGGUCUUAUCUUGCUAAGGCCGAUGGCGACCGGCGCACGGGUGAGUAACACGUAUCCAACCUGCCGUCUACUCUUGGACAGCCUUCUAAAAGGAAGAUUAAUACGAGAUGGCAUCAUGAGUCCGCAUGUUCACAUGAUUAAAGGUAUUCCGGUAGACGACGGGGAUGCGUUCCAUUAGAUAGUAGGCGGGGUAACGGCCCACCUAGUCUUCGAUGGAUAGGGGUUCUGAGAGGAAGGUCCCCCACAUUGGAACUGAGACACGGUCCAAACUCCUACGGGAGGCAGCAGUGAGGAAUAUUGGUCAAUGGGCGAGAGCCUGAACCAGCCAAGUAGCGUGAAGGAUGACUGCCCUAUGGGUUGUAAACUUCUUUUAUAAAGGAAUAAAGUCGGGUAUGGAUACCCGUUUGCAUGUACUUUAUGAAUAAGGAUCGGCUAACUCCGUGCCAGCAGCCGCGGUAAUACGGAGGAUCCGAGCGUUAUCCGGAUUUAUUGGGUUUAAAGGGAGCGUAGAUGGAUGUUUAAGUCAGUUGUGAAAGUUUGCGGCUCAACCGUAAAAUUGCAGUUGAUACUGGAUAUCUUGAGUGCAGUUGAGGCAGGCGGAAUUCGUGGUGUAGCGGUGAAAUGCUUAGAUAUCACGAAGAACUCCGAUUGCGAAGGCAGCCUGCUAAGCUGCAACUGACAUUGAGGCUCGAAAGUGUGGGUAUCAAACAGGAUUAGAUACCCUGGUAGUCCACACGGUAAACGAUGAAUACUCGCUGUUUGCGAUAUACGGCAAGCGGCCAAGCGAAAGCGUUAAGUAUUCCACCUGGGGAGUACGCCGGCAACGGUGAAACUCAAAGGAAUUGACGGGGGCCCGCACAAGCGGAGGAACAUGUGGUUUAAUUCGAUGAUACGCGAGGAACCUUACCCGGGCUUAAAUUGCAGAUGAAUUACGGUGAAAGCCGUAAGCCGCAAGGCAUCUGUGAAGGUGCUGCAUGGUUGUCGUCAGCUCGUGCCGUGAGGUGUCGGCUUAAGUGCCAUAACGAGCGCAACCCUUGUUGUCAGUUACUAACAGGUUCCGCUGAGGACUCUGACAAGACUGCCAUCGUAAGAUGUGAGGAAGGUGGGGAUGACGUCAAAUCAGCACGGCCCUUACGUCCGGGGCUACACACGUGUUACAAUGGGGGGUACAGAGGGCCGCUACCACGCGAGUGGAUGCCAAUCCCAAAAACCUCUCUCAGUUCGGACUGGAGUCCGCAACCCGACUCCACGAAGCUGGAUUCGCUAGUAAUCGCGCAUCAGCCACGGCGCGGUGAAUACGUUCCCGGGCCUUGUACACACCGCCCGUCAAGCCAUGGGAGCCGGGGGUACCUGAAGUGCGUAACCGCGAGGAGCGCCCUAGGGUAAAACUGGUGACUGGGG
RNAcentral lists this ribosomal RNA (1430 nucleotides) under uncultured bacterium. RNAcentral describes it as "16S ribosomal RNA". It matches the Rfam family "Bacterial small subunit ribosomal RNA". The record is from RNAcentral.